CACUAUCACCAAUCCUAAGUUUCUUAAAGACAAAAGGGACUAAUAACGCAAAACCAGAAAACCCGUGAAGGAAAAUGGGCAUGAGGAGAAAAUCACUACCUGAAUAUAAUACUGAAGGUGAGUUAGAAAGAAAAGAUACCAUCUACUCCUUAUUGAAUCAGCAAGUUCUAAUUUCUGAGAGGUUUUUUCGAGGUUUUAGCUAAAUAGGUGUUUGCUGGAAAGACUUUAAGAAACAAAAACAAUUAAAAAAAAAAAACUGUGCGUCUUUUUACUGGAAAAAUGCACAGAAUUUUCCCACAAAAUUUGUUCUUUUCUUUCUUCCAGUUCUGCUGUUAUGAACACUUCUCUAAUCUAUUACUUUCCUGCCUUUUUUUUUUUUUCUUUUGCAGUCUCUGGGAAAUGAAGAAGGCGCAAGGCGCUGGUGGACGACUGCUCUCUGUAUUAUAUGGAAACUGUUAAAGGAGCAGAAAUUACAAAUCGCUCUCUCUGUAUUUUCCUUUUAUAGGAUUCUCUCUAAUCUGUCGACGUA
Molecule: long non-coding RNA, 529 nt
Filed under: Jatropha curcas
Lineage: Eukaryota; Viridiplantae; Streptophyta; Magnoliopsida; Malpighiales; Euphorbiaceae
Description: long non-coding RNA (JCUR_LNC001131)
Source: RNAcentral